CCUACGGGUGGCAGCAGUGAGGAAUAUUGGUCAAUGGACGAGAGUCUGAACCAGCCAAGUAGCGUGAAGGAGGACUGCCCUGAGGGUUGUAAACUUCUUUUAUAAAGGAAUAAAACGUGGGACGCGUGUCUUUUUGCGUGUACUUUAUGAAUAAGCAUCGGCUAACUCCGUGCCCGCAGCCGCGGUAAUACGGAGGAUCCGAGCGUUAUCCGGAUUUAUUGGGUUUAAAGGGAGCGUAGAUGGGUUGUUAAGUCAGUUGUGAAAGUUUGCGGCUCAACCGUAAAAUGGCAAUUGAUACUGGCAGUCUCGAGUACAGUUGAGGUAGGCGGAAUUCGUGGUGUAGCGGUGAAAUGCUUAGAUAUCACGAAGAACCCCGAUUGCGAAGGCAGCUUACUAAAUUGUGACUGACAUUGAUGCUCGAAAGUGUGGGUAUCAAACAGGAUUAGAUACCCGAGUAGUC
This 460-nucleotide ribosomal RNA is filed under the name uncultured bacterium. RNAcentral describes it as "partial 16S ribosomal RNA". It matches the Rfam family "Bacterial small subunit ribosomal RNA", at positions 338 to 795 of the family's 1533-position model. The record is from RNAcentral.